UUGUUGGUUUUUGUUUGUUUGUUUCUCUCCUGUAGAUCUACUGAGGCUUUUUGUUGUGGGCAGCUGGCCAGUGUUUUUCUACUGGUUUCUGUCUCCAUAGAUCUGUUAUCAGAAAGGCUCCUCAUGACCUUCAACAGUGGAAAAGAAAAAUAUUUGAAAACUUACAAGUUCAUUU
Empidonax traillii (willow flycatcher) is the source of this 175-nucleotide long non-coding RNA. RefSeq lists it as uncharacterized. NCBI's taxonomy places the organism in Eukaryota, Metazoa, Chordata, Aves, Passeriformes, Tyrannidae. The record is from RefSeq and is a predicted model, not a curated record. The transcript is spliced from 3 exons.